RNAcentral lists this ribosomal RNA (465 nucleotides) under uncultured Klebsiella sp. RNAcentral describes it as "bacterial SSU rRNA". It matches the Rfam family "Bacterial small subunit ribosomal RNA", at positions 338 to 795 of the family's 1533-position model. The record is from RNAcentral. Lineage: Bacteria; Pseudomonadati; Pseudomonadota; Gammaproteobacteria; Enterobacterales; Enterobacteriaceae.
CCUACGGGCGGCUGCAGUGGGGAAUAUUGCACAAUGGGCGCAAGCCUGAUGCAGCCAUGCCGCGUGUGUGAAGAAGGCCUUUGGGUUGUAAAGCACUUUCAGCGGGGAGGAAGGCGGUGAGGUUAAUAACCUCAUCGAUUGACGUUACCCGCAGAAGAAGCACCGGCUAACUCCGUGCCAGCAGCCGCGGUAAUACGGAGGGUGCAAGCGUUAAUCGGAAUUACUGGGCGUAAAGCGCACGCAGGCGGUCUGUCAAGUCGGAUGUGAAAUCCCCGGGCUCAACCUGGGAACGGCAUUCGAAACUGGCAGGCUAGAGUCUUGUAGAGGGGGGUAGAAUUCCAGGCGUAGCGGUGAAAUGCGUAGAGAUCUGGAGGAAUACCGGUGGCGAAGGCGGCCCCCUGGACAAAGACUGACGCUCAGGUGCGAAAGCGUGGGGAGCAAACAGGAUUAGAUACCCUAGUAGUC